RNAcentral lists this ribosomal RNA (474 nucleotides) under uncultured bacterium. RNAcentral's name for it is "bacterial SSU rRNA". It matches the Rfam family "Bacterial small subunit ribosomal RNA", at positions 328 to 793 of the family's 1533-position model. The record is from RNAcentral.
AGGCCAGACUCCUACGGGAGGCAGCAGUGGGGAAUAUUGCGCAAUGGGCGAAAGCCUGACGCAGCGACGCCGCGUGAGGGAUGAAGGUCUUCGGAUCGUAAACCUCUGUCAGGAGGGAAGAAGUGGUUAUAUGCGAAUAGUGUAUGACUUUGACGGUACCUCCAAAGGAAGCACCGGCUAACUCCGUGCCAGCAGCCGCGGUAAUACGGAGGGCGCGAGCGUUAAUCGGAAUUACUGGGCGUAAAGCGCGCGUAGGCUGUUGUGUAAGUUGGGGGUGAAAUCCCACGGCUCAACCGUGGAACAGCCCUUGAUACUGCGCGACUUGAAUCCGGGAGAGGGUGGCGGAAUUCCAGGUGUAGGAGUGAAAUCCGUAGAUAUCUGGAGGAACAUCAGUGGCGAAGGCGGCCACCUGGACCGGUAUUGACGCUGAGGCGCGAAAGCGUGGGGAGCAAGCAGGAUUAGAUACCCCGGUAA